CAUCUAUUUGACAGGCCUGGAGCAGUUAAUGUCUGCUUCUAAGGUUUCCACUACACAGGCAAGAAAAAAUAUCCUCCUGUUUUCUGUCUGAUUGGGGCAGCCAAGAUUGAAUGCAGGAAUAUGUGA
This 126-nucleotide small nucleolar RNA is filed under the name Dasypus novemcinctus (nine-banded armadillo). RNAcentral describes it as "Small nucleolar RNA SNORA31 (ENSDNOG00000029558.1)". It matches the Rfam family "Small nucleolar RNA SNORA31". Rfam says of the family: ACA31 (SNORA31) belongs to the H/ACA class of snoRNAs which are thought to guide the sites of modification of uridines to pseudouridines. ACA31 is predicted to guide the pseudouridylation of U3713 in 28S rRNA and U218 in 18S rRNA. The record is from RNAcentral. Lineage: Eukaryota; Metazoa; Chordata; Mammalia; Cingulata; Dasypodidae.